UUUUAAAUGGUGCAAUUUUUAUUGUACUUUAUAUAAGUUUAGUCGUCUUUAGCUUGAACUGUUACUCCAUUGCUUCAGAUUAGUAGUGGUGCUCAAAACAAAGCAGUUUGUUUACUGCUGUUUUCUGCUCCUCCAUCAUGUUUCAGUUAUCAUGUGUUGUUGACAGCUCUUCAGUACCGACUGAAUUGGACAGACAGGCCUCAUCAAAGUGUUUCCUCUACGAGCCGCUGAUGUGUGUGAGCAGAUGUGUGUGUGACGCCGCUGUUAUGCUGAAGGUCAACGGAAAUCUCAAACACAUCUGGAAAAGUACAAUCAUCUGAACUGACAAACAGAUUUAUUCCCUCGCCUCAAGAAAUCUCAUCUGGUCCAAUGCAGACCUCAAAAAAAGUAAGUUAUACUGCGUUUUCCUUGCCUUGGCUUCCUUGUUUUGAACCUUUGCUUUGUUCUGUUUGAUCAUUCCAGUAUGCCGCUUGCCUUCUGACCAUUUGCCUGCUGUUUUGACUACAACUAUGGAUUGCCCUCAUGCAUCUGUUUGCUCCUGUGUUGAUCAUUGCUGGCCUGACCUCGCUAAUAAACUUGCAUGUGGAUC
Non-coding RNA from Danio rerio (zebrafish), 589 nucleotides. Lineage: Eukaryota; Metazoa; Chordata; Actinopteri; Cypriniformes; Danionidae. The record is from RefSeq and is a predicted model, not a curated record.